RNAcentral lists this ribosomal RNA (493 nucleotides) under uncultured bacterium. Its description in RNAcentral is "bacterial SSU rRNA". It matches the Rfam family "Bacterial small subunit ribosomal RNA", at positions 903 to 1397 of the family's 1533-position model. The record is from RNAcentral.
AAAUGAAUAGACGGGGACCCGCACAAGCAGAGGAGCAUGUGGCUUAAUUCGAUGCAACGCGAAGAACCUUACCCGGGUUUGACAUGUAACUGCACAUCCUGUGAAAGCAGGAUUCCUUCGAGGGUGUUACACAGGUGCUGCAUGGCUGUCGUCAGUUCGUGCCGUGAGGUGUUUGGUUAAGUCCAGCAACGAACGCAACCCCUGUGUCCAGUUGCCAUCAGGUAAUGCUGGGAACUCUGGACAGACUGCCCGUUUACGCGGGAGGAAGGUGGGGACGACGUCAAGUCAGUAUGGCCCUUACAUCCGGGGCUGCACACGUGCUACAAUGGCCGGUACAAUAGGAAGCUUGACCGCAAGGUUUGGCCAACCCCGAAAACCGGCCCCAGUUCAGAUUGGGGUCUGCAACCCGACCCCAUGAAGUCGGAUUUGCUAGUAACGGCGUAUCAGCUACGACGCCGUGAAUACGUUCCCGGGUCUUGUACACACCGCCCGU